This is a long non-coding RNA of Salvelinus fontinalis (brook trout), 717 nucleotides long. RefSeq lists it as uncharacterized. Lineage: Eukaryota; Metazoa; Chordata; Actinopteri; Salmoniformes; Salmonidae. The record is from RefSeq and is a predicted model, not a curated record. The transcript is spliced from 2 exons.
CACUGUUGUUUUGUUAGCAGGUUUUCUGUAGUGCAGUAAGCGCACAUGUGAUGUGAUUCGGCUGCCAAUGGAAUGGGGGGAGUAAUCAAAAGCCCACUUGUGAUGCCACUGGGCAGCGAAAAACUAAGUUUCUGGCGGAGCCAGAAAUGCCCUUAUCCAGAUGGUGUGACAAAGGCAUUUCCAAACAGACCUGCUAACUUUCUUUGUUGUUCCUUUUAACGUUGGAACCAACAUGGAGUAUCUCCAGUAGGAAGAGAGGCAAGAACCAUUCGUCUGCCAGCUCAGGGACAAGCUACACUAUUCACAGCAAUUACAUUGCAAUGUUCAAUGUAAUUGCAUUGCUGGACUUUUUGAAACUUAAUGUAUUUGUAUUGCUUAAAAAAUUUACAAAUAAAAGGAAAUGUAUGGUUUAAACGGGUGUUUAAUGUUAAUUUGUUUUAGCUGUUAGUGAUCAUUCCCAGUGUUAAUACAUUUGUGUUUACAUCAUUAAGCCUUUAUGUAUCUAUUGUGAUCAAAGGGGUCUGACUUUAUAGUAAGCAGAGCCUCAUAGGAUACAAGGCAUUUAUGUGUUAUAAAUUACCAAAGGGGUCUGACAUUAAAUUAAGUACAGCUUCAUGCGAUAUAGUCUUUAUGGACGUGUUAUGAAUGACUGAAGGUGUCUCACUUCAAACUAAGUAUUACAGGACAACAGUGUCAAUAAAUAUGUUAUUAACGUUC